Molecule: ribosomal RNA, 514 nt
Filed under: uncultured bacterium
Lineage: Bacteria
Description: partial 16S ribosomal RNA
Rfam family: Bacterial small subunit ribosomal RNA
Source: RNAcentral
GAUGAACGCUGGCGGCGUGCCUAAUACAUGCAAGUCGAGCGAACAGAUGAGAAGCUUGCUUCUCUGAUGUUAGCGGCGGACGGGUGAGUAACACGUGGGUAACCUACCUAUAAGACUGGGAUAACUCCGGGAAACCGGGGCUAAUACCGGAUAAUAUUUUGAACCGCAUGGUUCAAUAGUGAAAGACGGUUUCGGCUGUCACUUAUAGAUGGACCCGCGCCGUAUUAGCUAGUUGGUAAGGUAACGGCUUACCAAGGCGACGAUACGUAGCCGACGUGAGAGGGUGCCCGGCCACCCUGGAACUGAGACACGGUCCAGACUCCUACGGGAGGCAGCAGUAGGGAAUCUUCCGCAAUGGGCGAAAGCCUGACGGAGCAACGCCGCGUGAGUGAUGAAGGUCUUCGGAUCGUAAAACUCUGUUGUUAGGGAAGAACAAAUUUGUUAGUAACUGAACAAGUCUUGACGGUACCUAACCAGAAAGCCACGGCUAACUACGUGCCAGCCGCCGCCGUAA